Molecule: ribosomal RNA, 782 nt
Filed under: uncultured bacterium
Lineage: Bacteria
Description: bacterial SSU rRNA
Rfam family: Bacterial small subunit ribosomal RNA
Source: RNAcentral
UUUUUCGGGAGGGAUUUUGGAAUAAUUUAGUGGGGGGAACGGGGUGAGUAAAGGGUGGAGUACCCUGCCCUGGAGUGGGGGACAACAGUUGGAAAACGAUUGCUAAUUCAGCAUAAGCCCACGGUGCCGCAUGGCACAGCGGGAAAAGGAUUUAUUCGCUUCAGGAGGGACUCGCGUCCAAUUAGCUAGUUGGGGAGUUAACGGCCCACCAAGGCGAGGAUUGGUAGCCGGACUGAGAGGUUGAACGGCCACAUUGGGAAUGAGACACGGCCCAGACUCCUACGGGAGGCAGCAGUGGGGGAUAUUGCACAAUGGGGGAAACCCUGAUGCAGCGACGCCGCGUGGAGGAAGAAGGUUUUCGGAUUGUAAACUCCUGUCGUUAGGGACGAUAAUGACGGUACCUAACAAGAAAGCACCGGCUAACUACGUGCCAGCAGCCGCGGUAAAACGUAGGGUGCAAGCGUUGUCCGGAAUUACUGGGUGUAAAGGGAGCGCAGGCGGACCGGCAAGUUGGAAGUGAAAUCUAUGGGCUCAACCCAUAAAUUGCUUUCAAAACUGCUGGCCUUGAGUAGUGCAGAGGUAGGUGGAAUUCCCGGUGUAGCGGUGGAAUGCGUAGAUAUCGGGAGGAACACCAGUGGCGAAGGCGACCUACUGGGCACCAACUGACGCUGAGGCUCGAAAGCAUGGGUAGCAAACAGGAUUAGAUACCCUGGUAGUCCACGCUGUAAACGUUGGGAACUAGGUGUGGGGCCUGUCAUGGGUUCUGCGCCGGCGCUAACGCA